Long non-coding RNA from Parus major (Great Tit), 1450 nucleotides. RefSeq lists it as uncharacterized. The record is from RefSeq and is a predicted model, not a curated record. NCBI's taxonomy places the organism in Eukaryota, Metazoa, Chordata, Aves, Passeriformes, Paridae. The transcript is spliced from 2 exons.
CCUCCCUGGCACGCUGGACACCCUCCUCCUGCAUGGGGGAUGUGGCAGAGAAAACUUCCCAAAAUGAUGUUCCCAACACAUCCAGCCUCACUUCUUAUUUCCAUCAGGUUAUUCCUUAUAUCCAUCAGGAAAGGACUCUGGGCCUUUCCCUCCUUCCCCAGAUAAACCCUGAAAUCACAACCUGAAUAGUGCAGGUGGCUCAACACCAGGAUUGCAGCACUGGUGAUGGCAGAGCUGGGGAAAGCCCUGGGAAAUGUGAAUUUUCCAGAGUGGCAGAGCCCAUGGAGAGGGAUCCAAGAGCUGGGGAAGGAGCAGAGCCUGGAGAAAAUCACCUUGAGGGUGCGGUUGUGCCGCUGCAGCUCCCGGCACAGGCUCUCCAGCUUGCUCCGCGCCAGGAUGGCCUUGCUGUGCUCGCUCUGCAGGUGAUCCUUCUCCUGCACCAGCUGGCUCUGCUUCUUCUGCAGGAUCUUCAUCUGCUUCUGGGAGUUGCGGUGCUCCUCCAGCUGGGAGAGAGGAGCAGAGGGUGUGGACAGCAGCUCGCUGUACCCCAGGGACAGGAGCUCUGUCACACCUCACAACACAGCGGUGUGACACUUUCUCCUUCCUGAAUUCCCAUCUUGCUGCAAUGGGAGGGAGCUCUGUGUUCUCCCAGCACAGGGAAAAGCCACCCAGGGACACUUUGGACGUGCACAGGCAGCCCAAAAGCUGCUGCAGGUCCAGAUCCAUGCUUGGAACUCCACCUUGGCUCUGGUUAAAGGUGGGAUCAGGCUUUGUGUGCGUGAAAACAGACCUGACCUCCUCUUGCACCCAGAUUUGCCAAAAUUCCUUCUGUCCACACUUCACAAACACCACCAGGCUGGACCCAGCAACACCCACCCUCUCCUAAAGAUAUCCAGCACUGCAGAGAUCCCCCACAAAACUCCAGUGUGUCCCUGGAAUGUCCCUGUGAAAGGCCUGUCCUGCCUCCCUGAGCUGCCACAUCCUCCCCCAGCCCCAGGACUCACCAGCUCAGCGUAUUUCUUGCAGAGAGCUGCCAGCUUCUCCUCUGACGUGCUCAGGGUGUUCAGGGUCUGCAUCAGCAAAGUGAUUUCCUUGCCUGGAACAAGAUAUGGAAUGGGAAUAAUGCAAUAAAUAGGAUAAAAUGGCUUUGCACAGGAGCUCUGGCUUGGAAAGGCAAAAAAAUGAGGAACUGAGCAGGUAUCCAGUGCAUUCCCUGGAUUUCCCCAUGGUGGGAGAACAACUGGAGCAGCUGGAUUUUGGAGGGGAAAACCAUCCUUAGGUUGGCUGGAGCCAGCUGUGCCCAGCAGAGGAGAAACCCACGGAAUUCAGAGGCUGCACUGGGUGCAUCCCUCACCCCCACAGAACAGGAGGAUGGUCCCAAAUAUAUCCAAGGCUCUGAUUUCACCAAGGAUGAUUAGCGUGGGAUAAAAUCCAUCCAUCCAUGCACUGA